CACGAAAUGGAUUUAAAUGUAUGUUAAAAGAAUUAAAGUAACGUUUUUAAUAAAUAUACACCAUUUCUUAAUUGGUGAAAACGUUCUACCUGUUUAAACAUUAGACCAAUGUUUUUCUACUUUAAAAAGAGGUUAGUCUAUACGAUUUUUUUCGUCUAAACAAAAGUUCUUGUUGGAAAAAAAAAAAGUGUUGUUUGUUUUUAUUUUAAUUAACCACUCACACUAAUCUAAGUCUAGUCUAAAUCUAGACUAAAUCUUUUAAUAGGUCUUUUAUUUUGUCAAUAUUAACUUCUGUAAUACUUGUGACGUGUUGUCUAGCAAAUAAAACAGACGUAUGUUAUUGGUGGUUCCAAGAUGGCUCCGAGCAUGGCGGCCGUGUUGCGAGCUCCGAGUAAACUUUGCAGUUUUUCGUUUGUUUUAUUUGUUUUUUUUGUUGUUCUACAUGUUGGAUGUUGUUUGUAUAACUGUCUACGACAGACACACGCUUCUAAACAUUGGUUCCUACGUCGCGGAAUGCAAACCGGAAUUUGAGUUCUUGAAUGCUGGCGCUUUGUUUACAGACACUGCAUCAGAGCCCUUUGUCUGGGCUGCACGGGCGCGACCGAGGAAACGCCACCGGAAAAGAGGGAAGAGAGCUUUGUCAGACUCAGACGUCAUCCCCUCCGACCUCCUCUCCCAUCCAUUUUCCUGGCUAACGUUCAGUCACUGGACAACAAACUUUGCGAACUGCGGGCACGUAUCUCAUACCAACAAGAAACAAGUGACUGCUGCAUUAUUUGGCUCACAGAAACCUGGAUGUCUGCAGUGGUUCCAGACUAGAGGCUGACAUUUUUUCGGGAAUCCCACGGGUCACGGGAUUCCCGUGGGAUUCCUGCAGGAUGGGAGUCAUCUUUGCUAUUAAUCACGGGAUUUGGACGGUACAGGAUAAAUGGUUAACGGGAGCAGACGGGAGCUUGAAUCAACCAAUAGCAAAGACGACAAAAAAAGAAAAAAGUAAAUGCACCAUUUUGUAGUUUCCUUUUAAUACGCCUACAAUGUAAUGCAAUUAAAAAAUAACUACACGACCCAGCCGUCCCAGAAGCCAUCAGUGCUUUUUGUCAUGGCUUCCCGCCGGAAUUCAAAGAGCAGUGAUGGAGGGAGCUAACAGCCGCGGAGAAGUCGAUGUGGCAAAAAAUGAUUUACAGCGCAAAGUCAGAAGUAAUGACAUGUCUAUUAAGUUCACAGAACUGGUCGGAAAGUCUGAAAUAUUAAGUUUAUGAGAGUAGAAUGUGACGGUGAUAGCACGAUGUACGAAACAGGGGCUCAGCAGCUGGUCUAAAACAGGAUGGAGAGCAGAUUAAAUCAAAUUCUAUGUAUUAACUAAACACUAAUUGAAGAAAAAAAUUUAUGGGAGCGGUACAGGAGCGGGAGUCAGUUUAAACAGGAGCGGGAUGGGAGUGGGAGUCAAUUUACCAGGAGCGGGAUGGGAUGGGAUUAUUUUUUAAACUUUGGUCUGGGAGUGGGACGGGACAAGAUUUCUUUCUAUGGGAGUGGGACGGGACAGGAGUGAAAAUCCACUUCCGUGUCAUCCUCUAUUCCAGACUCAGCCAUCGAGCUUACGGGGUUCUCCGUGCACCGCUCGGACAGAACGAAAGAGCUCACAGGGAAAAGCAGAGGUGGGGGCGUUUGUUUCUUUAUCAACAACUCGUGGUGUGAUGAAAGGAACCUACACUCUAUUAAAUCCUUCUGCUCCCCUGAUCUGGAUUUUCAUAUGCUUCUGUGUCGACCAUUCUGGCUACCGAGGGAAUUCACAGCGGUCAUAAUCACAGCUGUUUACAUUCCCCCUCAAGCCAACACAGACCAGGCACUCAAGGAACUGUAUGGGAAUAUAAGUGAGCAGGAAACCGCAUACCCAGAUGCAGCGUUUAUUGUUAUGGGGGACUUUAACAAAGCCAACUUCAGAACAAUAGCUCCGAAAUAUUUUCAACACAUCACCAUCAACACGCGUGGUGAUCGUGCACUGGACCACUGCUACUCUCCUUUCCGGGACGCCUACAAAUCUCUCCCACGCCCACCUUUCGGCAAAUCGGAUCACUCUUCCAUUCUGCUGCUGCCUGCUUAUAGGCAGAAACUGAAACGGGAAGCACCCGCCCUCAGGACAGUUCAAUGCUGGUCGGACCGAUCAGAGGCUAUACUACAGGACUGUUUUGAUCACGUGGACUGGGACAUGUUCCGGGCAGCGUCUGAUGACGACAUAGAGGCGUACUCAGAAACUGCAACAUGUUUCAUCAGGAAGUGUGUAGAAGAUGUAGUGCCGACAAAAACAAUCCACAUCUACCCCAACCAAAAACCGUGGAUUAAUAGCGAUGUUCGAGCAGCCUUGUCAGCGCAGACAUCCGCUUUUAAAUCCGGAAACGCUGAUGAUCGCAAACAAGCCAGUUACGAUCUCAGGAAAUCAAUCAAAGCCGCAAAAAGACAAUACAAAAACAAAGUUGAAGAACAAUUUAACACCAACGAUGCAAGAGGCAUGUGGCAGGGAAUCAAUAACAUCACAGACUUUAAAGGGAAUAAACCAGCUACUGUGAACAUUACUGUGAACUCUCUACCGGAUGAGCUUAAUAACUUUUAUGCUCGUUUCGAGGCUCACAACACCGCCCACACAGAGAGCGCUCCCGCAGCUGCUGCAGAAGAUGUGAGUGCACUCUCCGUCUCUGUCGCGGAUGUAACCCGAUCCUUCCGACGGGUGAAUAUCCGCAAGGCUGCGGGUCCUGAUGGCAUCCCAGGCCGUGUGCUCCGAGCAUGCGCAUUCCAACUAGCCGGUUUUUACAAACAUUUUCAACCUCUCUCUCUGUCUGUCUGUGGUUCCCUCGUGCUACAAAAAAUCCAUCAUUGUGCCCAUACCAAAGAAAAAUAAAAUCACAUGCUUGAAUGACUGGAGGCCCGUUGCUCUCACACCCAUCUUCAGUAAGUGUUUUGAGAGACUCGUCAGAGACUACAUCUGCUCUGUGCUGGCUGCCUCGUUGGAUCCGCUACAAUUUGCAUAUCGUAGCAACCGUUCUACAGACGAUGCUAUUGCUUUCACCCUACACACUGCUCUCUCCCACCUGGAAAAUAAGAACACCUAUGUGAGAAUGCUGUUUGUGGACUACAGCUCAGCAUUUAACACCAUAGUGCCUGCCACACUUGUUGCGAAGCUCCAGACUCUGGGACUAAACAGAUCUCUGUGCAGCUGGAUCCAGGACUUCUUAACAGGCAAGAAGCCAGGUGGUCAGAAUGGGCAACAACACUUCAUCCCCGCUGACCCUUAACACUGAUGCUCCUCAGGGCUGUGUCCUCAGCCCACUCCUGUACUCCCUGUACACACAUGACUGUACAGCCACACACAGCUCCAACGUCAUCAUCAAAUUCACUGAUGACCCAACGGUGAUAGGCCUGAUCACCGACAAUGAUGAGAUGGCCAACAGAGAGGAGGUGAGCACCCUGACUAAAUGGUGUCAGGAGAACCAUCUCUCACUCAACAUCGAUAAGACCAAGGAGCUGGUGGUGGAUUUCAGGAGACAGAGCAGAGAACACAAACCCAUCACCAUCGACAAGACACCUGUGGAGCUGGUAAGCAGCUUCAAGUUCCUCAGCGUUAACAUCAGUGAAGAUCUCACCUGGUCUACACACACUGAUGCAGUGCUGAAGAAGGCACAUCAACGCCUCUUCUUCCUGAGACGGCUGAGGAAGUUUGUAAUGAGCCCCAGCAUCCUCAAAUCAUUCUACACUUGCACUAUAGAGAGCAUCCUGACUGGCUGCAUCACUGCCUGGUUUAGAAACAGCACCGCUGGCAACCGCAAAGCUCUGAAAAGGGUCGUGCGAACUGCCAGCCACAUUGUUGGAGGUGAGCUUCCCUCCCUCCAGGACAUCUACACCAGGCGGUGUAUAAGGAAAUCCCGGAGAAUCAUCAGUGACUCCAGCCAUCCGUCCCACAGACUGCUCUCUCUGCUGCCCUCAGGAAGACGUCUCAGCAGUAUCCGAUCCCACACUAGCCGACUGAGGGAUAGCUUUUUCCCUCAGGCUAUCAGACUUAUGAACAGUCUGAACUAAUACACCCUACAGCAUACUCCACAAUAUGGUAUGCCACACACUGCACUUUAACUUUAACAGUUCAACACCAAACUAUUUAAUACAAUAAUCUACCUGCUACCACUGGAUUCCAUCCAAUGCACAUCCAUAACAUUUCUGUAUCCAGCCCACGUACACUCUGUUGCACCUUAGCAUAUUUUCAUGCGUAUAUAUGUCUACAUAAUGUAGAAUGUGUACAUUCUGUGUAUAGUGUAUAAUGUGUAGUGCUAACUGUAUGUAUGUACAUAUUGCGUAUAAUGUGUAGUGCUAACUGUAAGUAUGUCCAAUAGUACACUGUGUGUACUGACUAUAUGUAUGUGCAUAUUGCAUAUUUUCACCUGUUGAAGUCUGUAUGGUUAUAUGUUAACAGUUUCUGCAAUUUCUGGUGCACACUCCCAAGAAUUUCACUCACCAAGGCACAUGUGCUGUGGUGAUGUGACAAUAAAAGUGACUUGACUUGACUUGAAAAGCCUGAGGUUUUACAACAUGGUACGAAAUGAAAAUAUUUUGUCUCACGUAUUGCAUCGAAACGAGAACAGCACAGGAUGUCUGCAUUGUGUGAUUACUGGUGUGACCAUAUCAGUGUACCGUACUUCAAAAGACUUGGGGGGGGGGGGUUCUGGCAAACUUAUGAGUUUUGGGGGUUCUGGCACUGUAAAUGGUGGUCCUGCGGAUCAGCUAAAGCUCAGCAUUUUGCGUUCACUGAUCAAAGGAUGACAAUUUAAACUAUUUAUGAUGUAGACCUGUGAGCAUGAGGUUAGCCAAAAGUGCAAUGACGGUCAAAAGCAUGUGAGACCUAUGAUUGUUUUUUAACAAGACAGACUGUGGUAUAGGAAAUUUUGCAUAAUUUUAGUUAAUUAAUUUUGUUUAUUUCAGUUACAUUUAUUAUUUUAUUCACACUUUAUUUUUUCAAGUCUCAACACAAACAUAGGCUGCAAAUACAAACAAACACACACACACACACACACACACAUAUACGUAAAUAUACAAAAAGCAUAAACAUACACGUAAAUAAACACAAACAUACAUAUGCAAACACGUGUACAAACAAACAUACAGAAUGUGACUUACAAACAAUCGCACACACACACACACUCUUAUGAGACAUACCUAAUACAAACAGAUAUCAUAGCUUUUGAUUUUGGAGUUGUUAAAAAUCCAUGCGUGCAAACAGUCGAAGCUAAGGCUAUAUCUACCCCUUUACGCACCAGGAUAUGCGAUAAAGGCCAGACGGUCUCUGGCGUAGAUCACGACACCCUCAGUUAAGUUGUAAAAGAAAAAAAAAAAAAUCUAAAAGAUGUCGCAUCUGUUGUUGCAUACGCAUAAAUCAAUGUUAUACAUGUAUUAAAGAUUUAUGUUAUUAGGGUACCCUCUGCUGAUGGUUAUCGGAUUAUACGUGGUAUUCUCAAGAGCCGCCCACACACCAAAUCCCGUUAAAAACCAAGAGUUUUGUUACGCUCAUUACCUGUAAAAUCUAUCUACAAGUCGUGCUACGCUGCUAUCUCAACAAUACACGAAACAAUGGCUGACAAUUACCAGGGUAAGUGUUUUUCAUCUGAGUUAUUUAAAUAUAUUUUAACGUGAAUAUUUUUUUAAUGUCUUGUGGUUAUAAUCUCUAGGUGGUUUUGAGAAUCAGGAUUUCGACGAUGGUUUGGAACAGAUCCUUGAAGAGCUAUGCGAGUAUUUCCCCCUUUAUUCUAUUAACUAUUCAAUGUCUAAUAAUAGCACCAAUAACUUUGUUGUCAUUUUACCCAGUCGAUGAGGCGGAGCUAUUUGCUUGUGAUGAUGACGGCGCUGUUAAUAACGGUGAGCACGUUGAUUCCGACAGUCACGUGGUAAUGUUACCUACAGAGGAUGCUUUACAAGAGGUUGUGGUUAGCGCUGAAUCACAUCAUGAUCUAAACAACGUCACAAAUCCCGCCACCGCACCCGUUCCAUCUUCAGGGGAAUGGUCUCACACGCUCCCAGACUGCUCGAGUGUUCACACCCCAGGUGCUUCCAGGCCGCGUCACUCGCAGGGUCAGGGGGUAAAACGUUUGAGGCUACCGGAGCACAAAACGGAUGAUGUUCCGACCACCAGCCGUUUAAGGACUUAGGAGAAUAACCAACAAGGGUACGACGAAGGUGGCCUAACAGCGUGGACCGAUUCACAGAUACAUGCGUGGGAUCAAGUGUCCUUCAGUGCUUCGGAACAGGAGGAGGAGGAGGAAUUACCUCACGAAAUUCCUCAGGAAUUGUUCCGUGAGCGUGAUUUAAACAGGAGGCUUGAUUAUGAUAUGCUGCGCCGUGUUAACCAGAACUUUGAGACACUUUUCGACUUGAAUGGACAAACGUUAUCCUAUCGGGAAGCAGAAGACAUCGUUGCUAGCGCACAAAGUGAUGUGGUAUCGAUUUUGAGAAACAUCAUUGCCUGUCAACAGCAGCACAACGAAUCCUUACGUCACACAGCCGAAUUUUGGAGAAGUUGCCACGAGCAGCUGUAUGGUGAAUUUCGGCAGUUUCAACAGAGCAUGAGCGGUGUACCGGCAGAAAUCCAUCAAGUACAAGUCGAGCAAAAUCUUUCUGUUAACAGCCUUACGCUGAUCACAGAACGUUUAAAUCUCAUUCAAAGAAUGUUGACAGAUUUGUUUAAUCAUAUGAUGAGAGGUUGUCCCUGAUAUGUAUUGAAUUGUUGCUUGUUUUUGUUUUGUUAUUGACAUCGAUUCGUUAUUAUCAUUGGGUAUUUCUUACAUUUAUUAUUGUUUGUUAUUGACAACGAAUCAUUAUUAUCAUUAGUUAUUUCUUACAUUUAUUAUUGUUUGUUAUUGACAACAAAUCAUUAUUAUCAUUAGUUAGUUCUUUUAUUAAUAUUGUUUGUUCUUCCUUACUUUUAUUAAUAUUGUUUGUUAUUCCUUACAUUAUUGUAUGUUAUUGUCCCCGCCAUUUAGUGUUGUUUUACUUGCGGAGAAACGGUGGUUUGGAAUUUAUAUAUGUUUCUGUUUUGUUAUAUCUGGUUAUGACGCAUUGUGAAUUGGCGUUGGUGUUUUCAGGAGUGUACACGCUUGCCUUUAAACUUGAAAAAGGUGUAUUUCUGAUUUAAAAAAAAAAAUAAAAAAAAAUAAUAAUUCAAAAUGAGCAGUAAAAGAUGUCACGAUAAUUUACACCCCCACACUUCAGAAGAUGAUCAGAGGUCAUCAAGACCCAGAUAUGAUUUUCAAAACAAUAGCGAACAGUUACGUGAAAUUAUUAACAAUCAUUUACAGAUGUUACCGUCUGAUCCGCUUAACAUGGUGGAUAGAUUACAUGAGCUUAUAGAUGAACAACACGAAUGGUUGGGUGCUGAUAUACAUGGCGAUGAACAGGUCGGCGCAGGGCCGUCUAAUAAUGAAUCCUCAGGUUAUGAUCCCUCAGCUCCAGAUAUGGGUCUCAGUCAGGAUUGCAUAGCUAGACUAGUGAGAGAAGGAGGUCGUGUGGGUGAUUUUACGAUUGUCCCAAAACCCAGAUUUAAUGGUUUAGAAAUUCGCAGAACUUAAAAUUUUCGUGAAAUAGUCACAGAUGACUAUGCUGCCUAUAAUAUCUUUUUGCAGGAUAUUUUGAAUGAGAUUGUAGCCGUUUCCAGAUUAUUAGCUGGUGAGGGUUUUUUUUAACAUAUCUCUGCGAGGUGCAAGUCUCCCCACAGAUAUUAAUGCCGUUCUAACGCCUGAUAACAAUCACGACAUUAAUCUAUUUGUUGACCAAAUCGAACGGGCUGUUCAAAGCAAUACGGAUAUGGGUUUUGAUACUGCUUUAGAGUUAUGUGUCUCUGUAGCACAAAACAAACAAGGUGGUGGUGGUGCGCGUAGGAAGUUGGCCGACCUGGCUCAUAAUCAGGUCAUACAGAAAAAUAGAAUGCAUUUGUUUAGCCCAAAAAAAUUUGCAGACAAUGUGUUUUAGUGCGUGCAUAGCUCACUUUUUAAAUCCUCAAAGUCCCGACUACGGAUUGAUGAAAAUAGCCAGAGAUAUACAUAUUGAUCAGGGUUACGAUCCACAAGAUAAAAUUGCAUUGCAUGGUGUUUCUAAAUUUGAGGCCUUUCUGGGGGUGAAAAUAGUUAUCACAGAUCGGGUUCAGGUAAAUUGGAAGUGUAUAAAAAUACAGACGAGAUACAUCAGAAGACGGUGCAUUUGUAUUUGCAUGAAGAUCAUUAUUAUGGUAUAAAAAAUCUGAAAGGUUUCUUAGGCUACUCGUAUAUUUGUGAGUACUGCUAUCACGGAUUUAAGGAUCGUACUUUACAUUAUUGUAAAUUUACAUGCAAUGUAUGCACAAACAAUAUGUGCUACACGCAUCCUAAGAAAUCGGUGCAAUGUGACGAUUGUUUGAGAUAUUGUAGAUCUGAUUUCUGUUAUGAAAUGCAUAAACAAGCACAAAGUGACAGUUCGAGGUCUCAGCGCGAUCUCAUAAAAUACUGUGAUAAAUGUUACAGACAGUACAGAGCAAAAUGGUCUGGUGAUAAACUAUUAACGCACAAAUGUGCACUAUCGAGAUGUGUGCAUUGCGCUGAAGUUCUGAUGGAUGAAGGUCAGCAUUGUUGCUAUAUUCAGCCUGUCAAGCCUAGCGAACAUAGCCAAGACUAUGUUUAUUUUGACUUCGAAACGAUGUAUGAAAACGGCAGGCAUACGGCAAAUUAUAUUUGUGCAUCAACGCAAGCUGGAGUUGAGUUCAUGGUGGAAGGGGUAGAUUUUUUAAAUUUGAGGGUUUCACAUUUAUCGCCCACAAUUCUUCGGGUUUCGACUCUUUUAUAUUGCUCAAGUAUUUCACUAGUCAGGGACUAACACCAAAAAUUAUACUCCAAGGCUGUAGACUUGUUUACAUGUACGACCAAGUCUUUAAACAGAGAUACAUCGACAGCUAAACCUAAACACCAGCGAAAAAUGAUUCUUUCCACAUCAUUUUAAUUGCUUGCAGAAUGCAAAUUAUAUAGGCCCGUAUCCUUCAAAAGAAUAUUAUGGAUAUCAGACGAUGUCUGACGCUGAGCGCAUGAAAUUUGAUUCGUGGUACGAGAGUGUAGCAGGAGAGGUGUUUGACUUCAAAAAGCAACUAGCCUUGUACUGCAAGAAUGACGUUGUUUUGCUGCGAGAGGCUUGUAUGAAAUGCAGAAAAGAGUUUAUAGAGUGUACAAACGUAGACCCUUUCGGUUGUAUAACGUUAGCCUGAUGUGCUAUGAAAGUGUUCAAAACACUUUUUUUAACCAAAGAUACAAUUGCCCUAACGCACAAAAAUGCUUACAUCAAUCAUCACAAAUCUUACUCAAACCCCUCCAUCCAAUGGUUGGAAUACAUUAAAGCAAGCAGAAAUGUCGAUUUUCAUCACGCAUUAAAUCAUGGCGAAGCCAAAUUUGGACCGUAUCAUGUGGACGGCUAUUAUGAGACUGAUAACGGCGAUAGAAUAGCUUUGGAGUUUUUAGGGUGCUUCUGGCAUGGACAUUAUAAAUACCAUUUGGCGUACUCAGAAGACAAUCUGACAAUAAGAUGAAGGUUUUGCGUAAUACCUAUAAUCUCAAAGUGCACAAAAUUUGGGAAUGUCAGUGGGCAGAAGCUAAGCAAAGCAAUCCUGAUGUCAUUGCUUUUAUGAGUAAUUAUAAUGCGCCAGCGAGACUGAACCCCAGAGAAUCGCUUUUUGGGGGGAGAACGAAUGCCCUCCGCUUGUACCACGAGACCGCCGUGGGUGAAAGCGUGUCAUAUCUGGAUUUCACAUCUCUCUAUCCUUAUGUACAGUCAUGUAAAACUUACCCUAUCGGACAUCCCGAGAUAAUUUUAAAAGAUUUUGACCCGGUCGAAUCGUAUUUCGGUCUUAUUAAAUGCAGCGUACUCCCCCCACGUAAACUACUACAUCCGGUAUCGCCUGUCAAAUCUUCUCAGGGGAAAUUAUUAUUUGUGCUGUGUCGUACCUGUGCUGAGGCACAGUAUCAGGGUCAGUGUCAGCACGGUGACGAAGAAAGAGUCAUUUCAGGAGUUUGGACCUCUGUCGAGCUCUCCAGAGCUAUUGAUAAAGGUUAUUCGGUAGUCAGAAUUGUGGAAGUCUGGCAUUUUCCACAGACAUCAGACACUUUAUUCAGCGGUUAUGUUAAGACGUUUCUCAAAUUCAAACAGGAGGCUUCAGGUUUCCCGACGCACGUAGUGACAGACACUGACAAGGAGUCUUACGUCAGAGGUUAUUUCGAGAAGGAGGGAGUUCAGCUUGACAUUGAAAAAAU
Cyprinus carpio carpio is the source of this 10295-nucleotide long non-coding RNA. NCBI's taxonomy places the organism in Eukaryota, Metazoa, Chordata, Actinopteri, Cypriniformes, Cyprinidae. The record is from Ensembl.